RNAcentral lists this ribosomal RNA (588 nucleotides) under uncultured Davidiellaceae. RNAcentral's name for it is "eukaryotic LSU rRNA". The stretch from base 224 to 377 matches the Rfam family "5.8S ribosomal RNA". The record is from RNAcentral. Lineage: Eukaryota; Fungi; Ascomycota; Dothideomycetes; Cladosporiales; Cladosporiaceae.
CUUGGUCAUUUAGAGGAAGUAAAAGUCGUAACAAGGUCUCCGUAGGUGAACCUGCGGAGGGAUCAUUACAAGAACGCCCGGGCUUCGGCCUGGUUAUUCAUAACCCUUUGUUGUCCGACUCUGUUGCCUCCGGGGCGACCCUGCCUUCGGGCGGGGGCUCCGGGUGGACACUUCAAACUCCUGCGUAACUUUGCAGUCUGAGUAAACUUAAUUAAUAAAUUAAAACUUUUAACAACGGAUCUCUUGGUUCUGGCAUCGAUGAAGAACGCAGCGAAAUGCGAUAAGUAAUGUGAAUUGCAGAAUUCAGUGAAUCAUCGAAUCUUUGAACGCACAUUGCGCCCCCUGGUAUUCCGGGGGGCAUGCCUGUUCGAGCGUCAUUUCACCACUCAAGCCUCGCUUGGUAUUGGGCAACGCGGUCCGCCGCGUGCCUCAAAUCGUCCGGCUGGGUCUUCUGUCCCCUAAGCGUUGUGGAAACUAUUCGCUAAAGGGUGUUCGGGAGGCUACGCCGUAAAACAACCCCAUUUCUAAGGUUGACCUCGGAUCAGGUAGGGAUACCCGCUGAACUUAAGCAUAUCAAUAAGCGGAGGA